AUUGAACGCUGGCGGAAGGCCUAACACAUGCAAGUCGAGCGAGCGGCGGACGGGUGAGUAAUGUCUGGGAAACUGCCUGAUGGAGGGGGAUAACUACUGGAAACUGUAACUAAUACCGCAUACCCUCAGAUGUGCCCAGAUGGGAUUAGCUCGUAGGUGGGGUAACGGCUCACCUAGGCGACGAUCCCUAUCUGGUCUGAGCGGAUGACCAGCCACACUGGAACUGAGACACGGUCCAGACUCCUACGGGAGGCAGCAGUGGGGAAUAUUGCACAAUGGGCGCAAGCCGGAUGCAGCCAUGCCGCGUGUAUGAAGAAGGCCUGCGGGUUGUAAAGUACUUUCAGCGAGGAGGCGUUACUCGCAGAAGAAGCACAGGCUAACUCCGUGCCAGCAGCCGCGGUAAUAC
Molecule: ribosomal RNA, 406 nt
Filed under: uncultured bacterium
Lineage: Bacteria
Description: partial 16S ribosomal RNA
Rfam family: Bacterial small subunit ribosomal RNA
Source: RNAcentral